GAUGAACGCUGGCGGCGUGCUUAACACAUGCAAGUCGAACGGAAAGGCCCAAGCUUGCUUGGGUACUCGAGUGGCGAACGGGUGAGUAACACGUGGGUGAUCUGCCCUGCACUUCGGGAUAAGCCUGGGAAACUGGGUCUAAUACCGGAUAGGACGAUGGUUUGGAUGCCAUUGUGGAAAGUUUUUUCGGUGUGGGAUGAGCUCGCGGCCUAUCAGCUUGUUGGUGGGGUAAUGGCCUACCAAGGCGUCGACGGGUAGCCGGCCUGAGAGGGUGUACGGCCACAUUGGGACUGAGAGACGGCCCAGACUCCUACGGGAGGCAGCAGUGGGGAAUAUUGCACAAUGGGCGCAAGCCUGAUGCAGCGACGCCGCGUGGGGGAUGACGGCCUUCGGGUUGUAAACUCCUUUCGCUAGGGACGAAGCGUUUUUGUGACGGUACCUGGAGAAGAAGCACCGGCUAACUACGU
RNAcentral lists this ribosomal RNA (467 nucleotides) under uncultured bacterium. RNAcentral describes it as "partial 16S ribosomal RNA". It matches the Rfam family "Bacterial small subunit ribosomal RNA", at positions 28 to 506 of the family's 1533-position model. The record is from RNAcentral.